CACAGAAGUCCUCAGCCACCCACCAACCCUCUGCCCCUGAGGGAACCCAAUCCCAGGACAGCUGAGAGUGAUGCCAGGACCCGAGGCCAAGUCUAAUUCCAUAGCCACCAGCAGGGCCAGGCAAGAAAUCAAGACCUAGAGAGAAAUGACUUCCUCAAGGUGACCCAGCAAGUCGGCACCAGAGCCUGGAUAAAGCGUUAGCAGUUGCCUGCUGCCGCCCUGGGACUACUAGGGCCUAAGGGAGAGCAAGAGAGAUGAUUGACCACCACCUCUCCUCAGCAGCCACGGACACCGCAGCAGAAGGAACUACCGACAUGUGAGAGGCGAAACUGUCCCUCUCCUCCCAGGGACCCGGUGGCAGAGCUGGGGCUGGAACCUCUACAGCCUCUACACUGCCUUGGCCUCAGUCAUCACUCGAAGAUGCCAGAUGAUGUCUCGAAAACACAAGCUCAGAUGUCUAGAGCCCAGGAGACGGAGGAAGUCUGGGGUCUCACUGUGUAUCCGAGCUAACCUAGAACUCAAGGUCCUUCUCCUUUAACCUCCCAAAUGCUGGAAUUAAAGGCAUGGACUUCCACAUUUGGCACCAAAUCAACACCUUUAAAACAAUGACAAUUCUUACCGUCUCCCCAUCCACACCU
Long non-coding RNA from Meriones unguiculatus (Mongolian gerbil), 638 nucleotides. RefSeq lists it as uncharacterized. Lineage: Eukaryota; Metazoa; Chordata; Mammalia; Rodentia; Muridae. The transcript has 4 exons. The record is from RefSeq and is a predicted model, not a curated record.